RNAcentral lists this ribosomal RNA (1002 nucleotides) under Klebsiella pneumoniae. Its description in RNAcentral is "bacterial SSU rRNA". It matches the Rfam family "Bacterial small subunit ribosomal RNA", at positions 128 to 1125 of the family's 1533-position model. Lineage: Bacteria; Pseudomonadati; Pseudomonadota; Gammaproteobacteria; Enterobacterales; Enterobacteriaceae. The record is from RNAcentral.
GCCUGAUGGAGGGGGAUAACUACUGGAAACGGUAGCUAAUACCGCAUAACGUCGCAAGACCAAAGUGGGGGACCUUCGGGCCUCAUGCCAUCAGAUGUGCCCAGAUGGGAUUAGCUAGUAGGUGGGGUAACGGCUCACCUAGGCGACGAUCCCUAGCUGGUCUGAGAGGAUGACCAGCCACACUGGAACUGAGACACGGUCCAGACUCCUACGGGAGGCAGCAGUGGGGAAUAUUGCACAAUGGGCGCAAGCCUGAUGCAGCCAUGCCGCGUGUGUGAAGAAGGCCUUCGGGUUGUAAAGCACUUUCAGCGGGGAGGAAGGCGUUAAGGUUAAUAACCUUGGCGAUUGACGUUACCCGCAGAAGAAGCACCGGCUAACUCCGUGCCAGCAGCCGCGGUAAUACGGAGGGUGCAAGCGUUAAUCGGAAUUACUGGGCGUAAAGCGCACGCAGGCGGUCUGUCAAGUCGGAUGUGAAAUCCCCGGGCUCAACCUGGGAACUGCAUUCGAAACUGGCAGGCUAGAGUCUUGUAGAGGGGGGUAGAAUUCCAGGUGUAGCGGUGAAAUGCGUAGAGAUCUGGAGGAAUACCGGUGGCGAAGGCGGCCCCCUGGACAAAGACUGACGCUCAGGUGCGAAAGCGUGGGGAGCAAACAGGAUUAGAUACCCUGGUAGUCCACGCCGUAAACGAUGUCGAUUUGGAGGUUGUGCCCUUGAGGCGUGGCUUCCGGAGCUAACGCGUUAAAUCGACCGCCUGGGGAGUACGGCCGCAAGGUUAAAACUCAAAUGAAUUGACGGGGGCCCGCACAAGCGGUGGAGCAUGUGGUUUAAUUCGAUGCAACGCGAAGAACCUUACCUGGUCUUGACAUCCACAGAACUUAGCAGAGAUGCUUUGGUGCCUUCGGGAACUGUGAGACAGGUGCUGCAUGGCUGUCGUCAGCUCGUGUUGUGAAAUGUUGGGUUAAGUCCCGCAACGAGCGCAACCCUUAUCCUUUGUUGCCAGCGGU